Molecule: ribosomal RNA, 2811 nt
Filed under: Triticum aestivum (bread wheat)
Lineage: Eukaryota; Viridiplantae; Streptophyta; Magnoliopsida; Poales; Poaceae
Description: partial small subunit ribosomal RNA
Source: RNAcentral
CAGAAAACUCCACUCCUCCAGUCCUCCCCAGCUAGACGGACUUUUCCUCUCCACCCUCUCCUGUACCUUUCCUCUUCCUCCCCGAUCCCUUCCUCCGCCACGCUGCUCUCAUGCUCUGCCCUACCCAAUCUCACCUAUAGUCCACCACCACUGUGCCCCCCCAACAACCCCGCCGCUGACGCGCGUCGCCGCCAUCGCCGUCGCCGUUCCUACUUCACCGCGUCGCUGCCGUCUCCGCCCCGUCCGCAAUCCUGGACACUGGUUUUUGAGGGCAACUGGGGUCAUCAUGUGCCAUACACUUCUUAAGCUGUAUCAAACUCCUUACCCGUUCCGAUGCUCUUAAGGUCCUGCUUAAAACAAAGAGAUGGACGCAACUGAUCUAGAGAAUCCAACAUCCAGAAACUCAUCUCAGAAAUCCAGCCGCCGUUCCAGUAGCCGGCGUUCUCAAAAGUCAGCUGGGCAACAAUCUUCCCCCACUGUAUUUCCAGAGAAAAGAGGCAAAUCUAGAUCUUUGAGGCAAAAGCAUGUGGCUGUUGACAAUAAAGAUGCCAAAAAGGGUAAAAACCAUGAGCGUAGAACUGAUACGGUGGAUGAGAGGUCCAAUUUUGUAGGUUUCGAAGUCUAUUCUGGCAAACUGUUUUAUGACAGGAAAAAUAAAAGUAUAGGAGCGGAUGGUCAUUUGUCAUCAAAUAAGAAAGCUGAUACAACUGAUGCAAGACUCACAAGUAAAGCCCUUAUAUGGGGUUCUACUGUACUCAGCCUUGAGGAUGUCAUCUCUGUAUCUUAUAAUUCUGGUCUCCAACAUUUUACUUUACAUGCAUAUCCUGCUAAGAACUCUCUAUUUGGAAAGACACAUAGAGCUCGGAAGGACUUCCGGUUUAUGGCCUCUACACUAGACGAGGCCAUUUUGUGGGUAACAUGCUUUGCAGAACAGAACAUAUACAUUAAUGUACUGCCACAUCCUGCAACAUCCAGUAUUAAGCAAGACACAGAUGGCCCCCUUGGUGGGGUUUUAUUUGAUUACCCGCCAAUCAAAUGCAGAACUCCGCAGAGAAUACUUGUUAUAUUGAACCCUCGUUCUGGACAUGGUCGAUCAAUUAAAGUUUUCCAUGAAAAAGCAGAACCUAUAUUUAAGCUUGCAGGUUUUCACAUGGAAGUAGUUAAAACUACUCACGCUGGUCAUGCGAAGUCUCUUGCGUCUACUUUUGAUUUUGGCGCAUUCCCUGAUGGGAUUGUCUGUGUUGGCGGUGAUGGAAUAGUAAAUGAGGUGUUCAACGGUCUUCUCACCAGAAGCGAUAGAACAGAAGCUGUGUCAAUUCCAGUCGGAAUAAUCCCAGCAGGAUCUGACAACUCACUUAUUUGGACUGUUCUGGGAGUUAAAGAUCCUAUUUCUGCUUCAUUGUUGAUUGUUAAGGGUGGCUUUACAACCCUAGACAUAUUGGCUGUUGAGUGGCUCCAAUCUGGGCUAAUACAUUUCGGCACAACUGUUUCAUACUAUGGUUUUGUUAGUGAUGUCCUUGAACUUUCUGAGAAAUACCAGAAGAGAUUUGGCCCUCUUCGAUAUUUUGUGGCUGGAGUACUCAAAUUUUUGUGUCUACCAAGUUACUUCUAUGAGUUAGAAUAUCUUCCUUUGUCCAAGGACAUGGCUGGGCAUGGAAAAGGUACAGGACAAGACAAGGUUGAAUUGUCUGAUGUCUAUACAGAUGUAAUGCGCAGUCGAUCAAAAAGAGAAGGAUUUCCACGAGCUUCCAGUUUUUCAAGUAUUGACUCUAUCAUGACUCCAAGUAGGAUGUCUCUUGGGGACUUCGACACAUCAGGUGGUACAGCGGCAAGCAGUGAACCGUCAGAGUAUGUUCGUGGUUUUGAUCCAAAAGCAAAACGGCAAUCUAUGGGCAGAAGCAACAUUGUUUCGGAACCAGAAGAAGUCCUACGCCCUCAACAGCAUCAUGCAUCAUACUGGCCAAGAACGAGGUCCAAAACAAGGACCGAUAGAAAUUCAGUUGGUGUCACAGCUUCUAAUGAUACACGGUUAUCUUGGGCAGCCCCUUCAAUGCAUGAUAAGGAGGACAUUUCCUCGACAAUAUCAGAUCCAGGACCUAUUUGGGAUAAUGAACCAAAGUGGGACACUGGGCCAAGAUGGGACACAGAGCCAACUUGGGAGCCUGACCAUCCUAUCGAACUUCCUGAACCACCAGAAGAUAUAGAAAUCGGAACAUCUAUGGAACUUGUGCCAAAUUUGGAUGAGAAAUGGGUUGUCAGGAAGGGGCACUUUCUUGGUGUCCUAGUAUGUAACCACUCGUGCAAAACAGUUCAAAGUUCCCAGAUUGUCGCGCCAAAUGCGAGCCAUGAUGACAACAGUCUGGACUUACUUUUAGUUGGCGGAAGGGGGAGAUGGAAGCUGUUGAGAUUUUUCAUACUACUGCAAUUUGGUCGCCAUCUUUCUUUACCGUAUGUGGAAUAUGUGAAGGUGAAAUCUGUUAAGGUUAAACCUGGUGCAAAUACCCACAAUGGCUGUGGGAUAGAUGGUGAGCUCUGCCGCGUCAAGGGGCAGGUAGUAUGUUCCAUGCUACCGGAGCAGUGCAGGCUUAUUGGCCGGCAAUGUAAACAGUCUAUUUAAGCACCACAAGUCUGCCGAGCUUCACGAGUUUUUGAGGCGCUGUAUGAUCUGUUGUCACUUGUAACAGUUGAUUUUGAGUUGUCUAUAUUAUCGUUUACUUGCCAAUGAGGGUGGGAGUGACUGGUCGAUCAGACAAUGUUGUGACGUUUCUGUAUAUUUGAGUGAUUAUAGAGGGAUGCCUCCAUCCUUUUUUC